Panthera pardus (leopard) is the source of this 327-nucleotide unclassified non-coding RNA. Its record names the gene 7SK. It matches the Rfam family "7SK RNA". Rfam says of the family: 7SK was discovered as an abundant small nuclear RNA in the mid-70s but a possible function has only recently been suggested. Lineage: Eukaryota; Metazoa; Chordata; Mammalia; Carnivora; Felidae. The record is from Ensembl.
ACAUGUGAGGACGAUCUGGCUGUGACAUCUGUCACCCCAUUGAUCACCAGGGUUGACUUGGCUGAUGUGGCUGACUAAGCAGGUGUCCCCUCCCUCCCUCAUCGCUUCAUGUGCAUCCCUCCUGAAGCUGUGUGCUCUGUGGAAGAGGACGACCUUCCUGAUAGAGAAUUAUUCUUUUGUCAAGGGGAUAUGAGUAGCAGAGCUUCCCUGCUGGAACCUCCAAGCAGACUCUCAAGGUACAUUUUUGUAGGAGAAUAUAGGGUAGUCAAGCUUCCAAGACUACAGACAUAUCCAAAUGAGUGCUGCAUGUGGCAGUUUGCCUUUCUU